This is a long non-coding RNA of Aegilops tauschii subsp. strangulata, 511 nucleotides long. RefSeq lists it as uncharacterized. The record is from RefSeq and is a predicted model, not a curated record. Lineage: Eukaryota; Viridiplantae; Streptophyta; Magnoliopsida; Poales; Poaceae.
CGAAACGUAUGCCUCUUGCACCUGCCACGCACGUGGGUGCGCGUGGCCAGCGAACGGCGCGACGCCCGAGGCUGCUUAUUACUACGCGCGCGGCGCGGAGAGCGACCGAGGAGAGGAGGGAGUAGGCCCUCUCGCGCUGGUGCCGGUGCCGUGCGUGCCUCGGACCUGUUCGUCCACGGCCAUGCAGAUGCAAGCAGCGGGGUCAAGCUAACAUGAGCGACGGCGGGCGUGCGUGCCCGAGGGCAGGAGGGAGGAGGACGUUUGUAGCUCCGGUGGGGUGGGCGUGCCUCCACUUUCGGCGCCGGACGGCGGUGACCUACACUAGCUAGCUGGCGGCCGGAUGGGCGUUCGCGUCGUACGUGGGGGCCUGCCCGUUCAUCUGAGGCGCACCGCGUGUCAGGCAGCCUGCAAUACAGACCGGCUUACUAAUGCUAUGGAAUAAGCUAGACAAUUCGCAGAAUAAUUGAAUAGGAACCCACUUGUCACUGGCCUACUAAAACAAAAUUCCUCA